Molecule: transfer RNA, 72 nt
Filed under: Ovis aries (sheep)
Lineage: Eukaryota; Metazoa; Chordata; Mammalia; Artiodactyla; Bovidae
Rfam family: tRNA
About the family: Transfer RNA (tRNA) molecules are approximately 80 nucleotides in length. Their secondary structure includes four short double-helical elements and three loops (D, anti-codon, and T loops). Further hydrogen bonds mediate the characteristic L-shaped molecular structure. tRNAs have two regions of fundamental functional importance: the anti-codon, which is responsible for specific mRNA codon recognition, and the 3' end, to which the tRNAs corresponding amino acid is attached (by aminoacyl-tRNA synthetases). tRNAs cope with the degeneracy of the genetic code in two manners: having more than one tRNA (with a specific anti-codon) for a particular amino acid; and 'wobble' base-pairing, i.e. permitting non-standard base-pairing at the 3rd anti-codon position.
Source: Rfam by way of RNAcentral
UUCUUGGUGGCUCAGAUGGUAAAGAAUCUGCCUGCAAUGCAGGAGACCCAGGUUUGAUCCCUGGGUGGGGAA